RNAcentral lists this ribosomal RNA (1126 nucleotides) under Klebsiella pneumoniae. RNAcentral describes it as "bacterial SSU rRNA". It matches the Rfam family "Bacterial small subunit ribosomal RNA", at positions 8 to 1125 of the family's 1533-position model. The record is from RNAcentral. Lineage: Bacteria; Pseudomonadati; Pseudomonadota; Gammaproteobacteria; Enterobacterales; Enterobacteriaceae.
AGAGUUUGAUCAUGGCUCAGAUUGAACGCUGGCGGCAGGCCUAACACAUGCAAGUCGAGCGGUAGCACAGAGAGCUUGCUCUCGGGUGACGAGCGGCGGACGGGUGAGUAAUGUCUGGGAAACUGCCUGAUGGAGGGGGAUAACUACUGGAAACGGUAGCUAAUACCGCAUAACGUCGCAAGACCAAAGUGGGGGACCUUCGGGCCUCAUGCCAUCAGAUGUGCCCAGAUGGGAUUAGCUAGUAGGUGGGGUAACGGCUCACCUAGGCGACGAUCCCUAGCUGGUCUGAGAGGAUGACCAGCCACACUGGAACUGAGACACGGUCCAGACUCCUACGGGAGGCAGCAGUGGGGAAUAUUGCACAAUGGGCGCAAGCCUGAUGCAGCCAUGCCGCGUGUGUGAAGAAGGCCUUCGGGUUGUAAAGCACUUUCAGCGGGGAGGAAGGCGUUAAGGUUAAUAACCUCAUCGAUUGACGUUACCCGCAGAAGAAGCACCGGCUAACUCCGUGCCAGCAGCCGCGGUAAUACGGAGGGUGCAAGCGUUAAUCGGAAUUACUGGGCGUAAAGCGCACGCAGGCGGUCUGUCAAGUCGGAUGUGAAAUCCCCGGGCUCAACCUGGGAACUGCAUUCGAAACUGGCAGGCUAGAGUCUUGUAGAGGGGGGUAGAAUUCCAGGUGUAGCGGUGAAAUGCGUAGAGAUCUGGAGGAAUACCGGUGGCGAAGGCGGCCCCCUGGACAAAGACUGACGCUCAGGUGCGAAAGCGUGGGGAGCAAACAGGAUUAGAUACCCUGGUAGUCCACGCCGUAAACGAUGUCGAUUUGGAGGUUGUGCCCUUGAGGCGUGGCUUCCGGAGCUAACGCGUUAAAUCGACCGCCUGGGGAGUACGGCCGCAAGGUUAAAACUCAAAUGAAUUGACGGGGGCCCGCACAAGCGGUGGAGCAUGUGGUUUAAUUCGAUGCAACGCGAAGAACCUUACCUGGUCUUGACAUCCACAGAACUUUCCAGAGAUGGAUUGGUGCCUUCGGGAACUGUGAGACAGGUGCUGCAUGGCUGUCGUCAGCUCGUGUUGUGAAAUGUUGGGUUAAGUCCCGCAACGAGCGCAACCCUUAUCCUUUGUUGCCAGCGGU